UUUGGUUAAGUUAGAAAGGGCGCACGGUGGAUGCCUUGACACUAGGAGUCGAUGAAGGACGGGACUAACGCCGAUAUGCUUCGGGGAGCUGUAAGUAAGCUUUGAUCCGAAGAUUUCCGAAUGGGGAAACCCACCAUACGUAAUGGUAUGGUAUCCUUAUCUGAAUACAUAGGGUAAGGAAGACAGACCCAGGGAACUGAAACAUCUAAGUACCUGGAGGAAGAGAAAGCAAAUGCGAUUUCCUGAGUAGCGGCGAGCGAAACGGAACAUAGCCCAAACCAAGAGGCUUGCCUCUUGGGGUUGUAGGACAUUCUAUACGGAGUUACAAAGGAACGAGGUAGACGAAGCGACCUGGAAAGGUCCGUCGUAGAGGGUAACAACCCCGUAGUCGAAACUUCGUUCUCUCUUGAAUGUAUCCUGAGUACGGCGGAACACGUGAAAUUCCGUCGGAAUCUGGGAGGACCAUCUCCCAAGGCUAAAUACUCCCUAGUGAUCGAUAGUGAACCAGUACCGUGAGGGAAAGGUGAAAAGCACCCCGGAAGGGGAGUGAAAGAGAUCCUGAAACCGUGUGCCUACAAAUAGUCAGAGCCCGUUAACGGGUGAUGGCGUGCCUUUUGUAGAAUGAACCGGCGAGUUACGAUCCCGUGCGAGGUUAAGCUGAAGAGGCGGAGCCGCAGCGAAAGCGAGUCUGAAUAGGGCGUUUAGUACGUGGUCGUAGACCCGAAACCAGGUGAUCUACCCAUGUCCAGGGUGAAGUUCAGGUAACACUGAAUGGAGGUCCGAACCCACGCACGUUGAAAAGUGCGGGGAUGAGGUGUGGGUAGCGGAGAAAUUCCAAUCGAACCUGGAGAUAGCUGGUUCUCCCCGAAAUAGCUUUAGGGCUAGCCUUAAGUGUAAGAGUCUUGGAGGUAGAGCACUGAUUGGACUAGGGGUCCUCAUCGGAUUACCGAAUUCAGUCAAACUCCGAAUGCCAAUGACUUAUCCUUAGGAGUCAGACUGCGAGUGAUAAGAUCCGUAGUCAAAAGGGAAACAGCCCAGACCGCCAGCUAAGGUCCCAAAGUGUGUAUUAAGUGGAAAAGGAUGUGGAGUUGCUUAGACAACUAGGAUGUUGGCUUAGAAGCAGCCACCAUUUAAAGAGUGCGUAAUAGCUCACUAGUCGAGUGACUCUGCGCCGAAAAUGUACCGGGGCUAAAUACACCACCGAAGCUGCGGAUUGAUACCAAUGGUAUCAGUGGUAGGGGAGCGUUCUAAGGACAGUGAAGUCAGACCGGAAGGACUGGUGGAGUGCUUAGAAGUGAGAAUGCCGGUAUGAGUAGCGAAAGACGGGUGAGAAUCCCGUCCACCGAAUGCCUAAGGUUUCCUGAGGAAGGCUCGUCCGCUCAGGGUUAGUCAGGACCUAAGCCGAGGCCGACAGGCGUAGGCGAUGGACAACAGGUUGAUAUUCCUGUACCACCUCUUUAUCGUUUGAGCAAUGGAGGGACGCAGAAGGAUAGAAGAAGCGUGCGAUUGGUUGUGCACGUCCAAGCAGUUAGGCUGAUAAGUAGGCAAAUCCGCUUAUCGUGAAGGCUGAGCUGUGAUGGGGAAGCUCCUUAUGGAGCGAAGUCUUUGAUUCCCCGCUGCCAAGAAAAGCUUCUAGCGAGAUAAAAGGUGCCUGUACCGCAAACCGACACAGGUAGGCGAGGAGAGAAUCCUAAGGUGUGCGAGAGAACUCUGGUUAAGGAACUCGGCAAAAUGACCCCGUAACUUCGGGAGAAGGGGUGCUUUCUUAACGGAAAGCCGCAGUGAAUAGGCCCAAGCGACUGUUUAGCAAAAACACAGCUCUCUGCGAAGCCGUAAGGCGAAGUAUAGGGGGUGACACCUGCCCGGUGCUGGAAGGUUAAGGAGAGGGGUUAGCGUAAGCGAAGCUCUGAACUGAAGCCCCAGUAAACGGCGGCCGUAACUAUAACGGUCCUAAGGUAGCGAAAUUCCUUGUCGGGUAAGUUCCGACCCGCACGAAAGGUGUAACGAUUUGGGCACUGUCUCAACCAGAGACUCGGUGAAAUUAUAGUACCUGUGAAGAUGCAGGUUACCCGCGACAGGACGGAAAGACCCCGUGGAGCUUUACUGUAGCCUGAUAUUGAAUUUUGGUACAGUUUGUACAGGAUAGGCGGGAGCCAUUGAAACCGGAGCGCUAGCUUCGGUGGAGGCGCUGGUGGGAUACCGCCCUGACUGUAUUGAAAUUCUAACCUACGGGUCUUAUCGACCCGGGAGACAGUGUCAGGUGGGCAGUUUGACUGGGGCGGUCGCCUCCUAAAGUGUAACGGAGGCGCCCAAAGGUUCCCUCAGAAUGGUUGGAAAUCAUUCGUAGAGUGCAAAGGCAUAAGGGAGCUUGACUGCGAGACCUACAAGUCGAGCAGGGACGAAAGUCGGGCUUAGUGAUCCGGUGGUUCCGCAUGGAAGGGCCAUCGCUCAACGGAUAAAAGCUACCCCGGGGAUAACAGGCUUAUCUCCCCCAAGAGUCCACAUCGACGGGGAGGUUUGGCACCUCGAUGUCGGCUCAUCGCAUCCUGGGGCUGUAGUCGGUCCCAAGGGUUGGGCUGUUCGCCCAUUAAAGCGGUACGCGAGCUGGGUUCAGAACGUCGUGAGACAGUUCGGUCCCUAUCCGUCGUGGGCGUAGGAAAUUUGAGAGGAGCUGUCCUUAGUACGAGAGGACCGGGAUGGACGCACCGCUGGUGUACCAGUUGUUCUGCCAAGGGCAUAGCUGGGUAGCUAUGUGCGGAAGGGAUAAGUGCUGAAAGCAUCUAAGCAUGAAGCCCCCCUCAAGAUGAGAUUUCCCAUAGCGUAAGCUAGUAAGAUCCCUGAAAGAUGAUCAGGUUGAUAGGUUCGAGGUGGAAGCAUGGUGACAUGUGGAGCUGACGAAUACUAAUAGAUCGAGGACUUAACCAUAUAA
This 2929-nucleotide ribosomal RNA is filed under the name Bacillus cereus. RNAcentral describes it as "23S ribosomal RNA". It matches the Rfam family "Bacterial large subunit ribosomal RNA". The record is from RNAcentral. Lineage: Bacteria; Bacillati; Bacillota; Bacilli; Caryophanales; Bacillaceae.